CUUUUGCAAAGAUGGUGAACACACUCCUAAGCCAGAUUUGGCUGUGGGGCACUAGAUUCUAACCUCCACUCUUGGUGGUGAGGGAAGGCUAUGUCUCGUCCAUUUCUGUAACUUCUGGAAACCACUCGUGCACAGUAGCUUCUUGAUGACUGCAGGCGGAGUAGCAGGUUUCUUGGAACUGAGAUACCCUGGCCCAUCAGGUGGAGGGUCAGUUUCAGAAGCUCAGUGAUUACAGGAGUGGUUGCCUCCCAAGUAGCUUCCACAGUCUGUAGAGGGUCCCAAGGAGCAUGCCCUAACGUGCACGUGGGUGGCAGGAAGAGAACAGAGACACUGAAAAGACUGAACACACUGGUUCUUGACCAGAAGUCAUGUUGUCCCCCAGUGGACACUUGGCAAUGUCUGACAUUUUUAGCUGUCACAUCUGGGGAACGGGUGCCACUGGCAUCUUGUGGGUAGAGGCCAGGGAUGCUUUUAAACAUCUACAAUGCAUAGAACAGCCCCUACGCGCCCCCCCGCCCCCCCCACACACAAUUACCCCAGCCUCAAAUGUCAAUAGUGUAGAGAUCUAGAAGCCCUGGAACAGGGAGGUUGGAGGCCCAGACAGACCGAGCCUCAGUCAUGGCUCUGCUCAGGUUUCCUGUGUGACCUUGAACUUCUUAUUAAUAAGCCUCACUAACUCUCAUUUUUCUGUAGACUGAAGUUAGUGGAAGUAGCAUUCUUUCCAGGGUGGGUGUGAGGUUUCAGUGAGAUGAUGUGAGUCAAAUGCUUAGCUCAUGCCUGACACAUAGUUACAUCCUCACCAUGUCUCAGCUGCUGUUGAUAUCCACCUACCUGUAUAUCCGCCUGAACUAUGCAAAAAGAAGGGGUUUUGCAAACUUUUGCAUGCAGGCUUAGAAUUCAACAUUAGCAGGACCCUGACACAGCAAACUUCCAAGCUAUGAAGUGAAUCAAUGUUCAGGUUAACCGAUGGAAAUCACUUUUCUUUUUAUGAGUGUGCGUCUCGAUGCCUUGCAUUUUAUUUGACAAUAGCCCCAUCAAACCUAACAUGUUGUGCCUUCCCAGCCCUCAAAGUGAAGAUGAAAAGAGCCAUCAAAAUGAACAACUAAUAAGCAAGUGCACGUCUUUCCCUGCUGUCCUCCUCAUCAACCUCGCUUUGAUGAAUUUACCCUACGGAUACUUGCGGUGGAAUCACAAGAGGUAUGUCCAGGGAUGCUCAUCAUAGCAUCAUCUGCGAUGGCAAAAAUGCUGAAGACGACCUAUUAAGUCCAUACACAGGGCAGUGGUUAAAACAUGGAACUUUGUGCACUAGAAAUCUCUGCAGAUAGUCGACAGAAGGAAUCAGAUGUAAAUGUGCUGAUACAAAAAGAUAACCUUUUAGUUAGGAAAGUGUGCUAGUCUUAAGUACACAGCUUGAGUAAUUUUUCCAUGUGUCUACACCCGUGUAACCAUCAAGAUCGAGAUGGAACAUUCCCGUCACUUGAGAGGGCUCCCUGUGCUCUUUAGAAUCAGUCACGCCCUCUCCCCACACAAAGGAACCAUUCUUCUGACUUUGGGGGCUGUUGAGUAGUUCUGCCUGUUCUUGAACUUCACAGAAAAGGAAUCACAUGGUGUGCGUUCUCUUAUACUUGGCUUCUUUCACUUAGCAUAAUGUUCUUGAAAUUCAUCCAUGUUAUGUAUACAUGAGUGCUUUGUUCCUUUUCAUUGCUAUGUAACAUUCUAUUAUAGGUUAUAACACAAUUUGUUAUUCAUUUACAUAUGGGACAUUUGGGUUGUUUCUACUUUUUGACUAAUAUAGUAAAGCUGCUCUGAACAUUCUUG
This 1818-nucleotide long non-coding RNA is filed under the name Homo sapiens (human). RNAcentral's name for it is "HSALNT0269443". Lineage: Eukaryota; Metazoa; Chordata; Mammalia; Primates; Hominidae. The record is from RNAcentral.